Molecule: non-coding RNA, 127 nt
Organism: Pelobates cultripes (western spadefoot toad)
Lineage: Eukaryota; Metazoa; Chordata; Amphibia; Anura; Pelobatidae
Source: the annotation of a GenBank genome assembly
AUUGCUUCUGUGGACAGGUGUCUUUUAUACAGGUAACAAGCUGAGAUUAGGAACACUCCCUUUAAGAGAGUGCUACUAAUCUAAUCUCAGCUUGUUACCUGUAUAAAAGACACCUGGGAGCCAGAAA